Molecule: ribosomal RNA, 1042 nt
Filed under: uncultured organism
Description: bacterial SSU rRNA
Rfam family: Bacterial small subunit ribosomal RNA
Source: RNAcentral
GCUUAACACAUGCAAGUCGAACGCAACCUUCGGGUUGAGUGGCGGACGGGUGAGUAACGCGUGAGAAUCUGCCUUGGGGUCGGGGAGCAACCACUGGAAACGGUGGCUAAUACCGGAUAAGCCUUUGGGUAAAAAAUUUAUUGCCCCAAGAGGAGCUCGCGUCUGAUUAUCUACUUGGUGAGGUAAAAGCUCACCAAGGCAGCGAUCAGUAACUGGUCUGAGAGGACGAUCAGCCACGCUGGGACUGAGACACAGCCCAAACUCCUACGGGAGGCAGCAGUGGGGAAUUUUCCGCAAUGGGCGAAAGCCUGACGGAGCAAGACCGCGUGAGGGAGGAAGGCUCUUGGGUUGUAAACCUCUUUUCUCAGGGAAGAAGCUCUGACAGUACCGUGCAGGAAUCAGCCUCGGCUAACUCCGUGCCAGCAGCCGCGGUAAUACGGAGGAGGCAAGCGUCAUCCGGAAUCAUUGGGCGUAAAGCGUCCGCAUGUGGCGAUUCAAGUCUGCUGUCAAAGCACGGGGCUUAACUCCGUCAAGGCAGUGGAAACUGAAUAGCUCGAGUGCCGUAGGGGUAGACGGAAUUCCCGGUGUAGCGGUGAAAUGCGUAGAGAUCGGGAAGAACAUCGGUGGCGAAAGCGCUCUACUGGACGGCAACUGACACUCAGGGACGAAAGCUAGGGGAGCGAAUGGGAUUAGAUACCCCAGUAGUCCUAGCUGUAAACGAUGGAUACUAGGUGUAGCUUGUAUCGACCCGAGCUGUGCCGAAGCUAACGCGUUCAGUAUCCCGCCUGGGGAGUACGCACGCAAGUGUGAAACUCAAAGGAAUUGACGGGGGCCCGCACAAACGGUGGAGUAUGUGAUUUAAUUCGAUGCAACGCGCAGAACCUUACCAGGGCUUGACAUGUCCGGAAUCCCGGUGAAACCUGGGAGUGCCUUCGGGAGCCGGGAACACAGGUGGUGCAUGCCGGUCGUCAGCUCGUAUCGUGAGAUGAUGGCUUAAGUCCCGCAACGAGCGCUACCCUCGUCUUUAGUUGCCAGCAUUAAG